GAUGAACGCUGGCGGCGUGCCUAAUACAUGCAAGUCGAGCGAACGGACGAGAAGCUUGCUUCUCUGAUGUUAGCGGCGGACGGGUGAGUAACACGUGGAUAACCUACCUAUAAGACUGGGAUAACUUCGGGAAACCGGAACUAAUACCGGAUAAUAUUUUGAACCGCAUGGUUCAAAAGUGAAAGACGGUCUUGCUGUCACUUAUAGAUGGAUCCGCGCUGCAUUAGCUAGUUGGUAAGGUAACGGCUUACCAAGGCAACGAUGCAUAGCCGACCUGAGAGGGUGAUCGGCCACACUGGAACUGAGACACGGUCCAGACUCCUACGGGAGGCAGCAGUAGGGAAUCUUCCGCAAUGGGCGAAAGCCUGACGGAGCAACGCCGCGUGAGUGAUGAAGGUCUUCGGAUCGUAAAACUCUGUUAUUAGGGAAGAACAUAUGUGUAAGUAACUGUGCACAUCUUGACGGUACCUAAUCAGAAAGCCACGGCUAACUACGU
RNAcentral lists this ribosomal RNA (496 nucleotides) under uncultured bacterium. RNAcentral's name for it is "partial 16S ribosomal RNA". It matches the Rfam family "Bacterial small subunit ribosomal RNA", at positions 28 to 506 of the family's 1533-position model. The record is from RNAcentral.